UGGCGGCGUGCCUAACACAUGCAAGUCGAACGGGGUUAAGGGAAAGUUUCGGAUGGAACUUAACUUAGUGGCGGACGGGUGAGUAACGCGUGGAUAACCUGCCUCACACUGGGGGAUAGCAGCUGGAAACGGCUGGUAAUACCGCAUAAGACCACAGCACCGCAUGGUGCAGGGGUAAAAAGAUUUAUCGGUGUGAGAUGGAUCCGCGUCUGAUUAGCCAGUUGGCGGGGUAACGGCCCACCAAAGCGACGAUCAGUAGCCGGCCUGAGAGGGUGAACGGCCACAUUGGGACUGAGACACGGCCCAAACUCCUACGGGAGGCAGCAGUGGGGAAUAUUGCACAAUGGGCGCAAGCCUGAUGCAGCAACGCCCGCGUGAGUGAAGAAGUAUUUCGGUAUGUAAAGCUCUAUCGGCAGGGAAGAAAGGCCCGAAAGGGAGAUGACGGUACCUGACUAAGAAGCCCCGGCUAACUACGUGCCAGCAGCGGC
RNAcentral lists this ribosomal RNA (488 nucleotides) under uncultured bacterium. RNAcentral describes it as "bacterial SSU rRNA". It matches the Rfam family "Bacterial small subunit ribosomal RNA", at positions 37 to 518 of the family's 1533-position model. The record is from RNAcentral.